CCCUUAGAUGUUCUGGGCCGCACGCGCGCUACACUGGCUGACUCAACAUGUUUUAUAUCAUUUUGAUAUUUUCGCUUGGUUGAGAUGCCUGGCUAAUCAUUUAAAUGUCAGCCGUGAUGGGGCUAGAGUUUUGCAAUUAUGACUCUCUAACGAGGAAUUCCUAGUAUGGUCAAGUCAUCAGCUUGUCCAGAUUACGUCCCUGCCCUUUGUACACACCGCCCGUCGACUCUACCGAUUGAAUGGUUCGGUGAAAACUUUGGACUGUGGCAUUGUCCUUCAUUGGACUUCGCCGUAGGAAAUUGUUUAAACCUCAUCAUUUAGAGGAAGAAUAAGUCGUAACA
RNAcentral lists this ribosomal RNA (341 nucleotides) under uncultured eukaryote. RNAcentral describes it as "partial 18S ribosomal RNA". It matches the Rfam family "Eukaryotic small subunit ribosomal RNA", at positions 1470 to 1796 of the family's 1831-position model. The record is from RNAcentral.